Molecule: long non-coding RNA, 2217 nt
Organism: Globicephala melas (long-finned pilot whale)
Lineage: Eukaryota; Metazoa; Chordata; Mammalia; Artiodactyla; Delphinidae
Source: RefSeq, a predicted model, not a curated record
GAUCAGCUUCGUAAGUGUAAAAUCUUCCUGAAGAACAUUGAAAAUACAUAUUAGAGGUGCUUGGGAGAAAGAAAACAGACCCGCCAGUAAAUCAGUAAAUCAAUAACUUUAACAAUAAAUCAUGAAGCCAGAUUCAUCCACAAGGACUGCAGCACGAGGAUCCCUCCGCCCUCAACAAGACCGUUUGUUUGCAUUCAUCAAGUCUUCUCUACAUGCCGGCUGCCUCUAUCUGUAUUUGGCCCUGAAAGAAGAGAUCUUAAUCUACACUGAAGGAGACGGCAGAGAAAUUAGGGAAAACACACACAUUUGCCUUCAUCCUCCCUGUGUUUUGGCCAGGCAGACUUAGCUCUAGAGAGGGAAGCAGCUAUGGACAGGCUGCUUCAGAGCAGGAGACAAACGCCAAUGGCCUUAGGAGCCAGGCAGGUAACAGAGAUGCAGAGAGCAGACAGGAAGUGAUGGGACAUGCUGUUCAGCAGGGAUGCACAUGCUAACCUCAGGCCUCUGGAUUUGAAAAUUUCACAACACCACGCCAGCCCAGCAAACACUUGGGUGGGCGGAACGGCGCCCUUGGAGCUCCAGUCUGUAACUCCUACUCCAGAGGGACAUAUUGUUCCAUUCCUUCAAAAGCCAUCUCACAAAAUCCACCUCCCCUGGAAAUCUGUUCUUCCUUCCUUUACUCAUGGUCCCUGGCCUUUUCUAGCCCAGCCACUCAUUUGCAAGCAGUUACUGAGCACCUGUUUUACACAAAUCACUGUGGAAUAGACACAUGAAAAAGCACGCAAGAGUGGACACAGUCAUCCGAAUUUAAAGCAAAGCAUCUAGAAACGAGAAGAGCAUUUCAGUGAGCUGUUACAUAUAUGUAUUAUAACAGCAUUGCAAUUUGCUAGGGAAAUAGACAGGAUAGAAAUUGCUUCUGUCUGGUGGGAGAGGGGGCAGGCGCAGGAGAGAGGGACACUUAAUUGUGGAGGUGUCCCAGGAGCCCUAAUGGGUUUUGACAGGCGGCACGCAGGGAGGUGGGUACAUCCCAUUACAGGUCUGUGGUUAUGGAUUUUGUCUGUCUCUCGCGUGUACGUUUAUGCCCUCUUUCCUGUAGGAAAUUUGGAAGCUCCCUGAAGGAGGGGACUGCGUCCCCUAUGUGGUUUUCCCGAUUUCCUUGACAUUCCAUAACACCUAUCUUAGUUUCUUGUUACUGAAGCAUCCUUUUCUGGUUGUUGAGAGAAGGAGAAGCUGGAUUCCUCUAUCGGUGGGAAGCAAACAGUCGGAGGCACUUGGGGAACACAGAUAAAGGUAGUGAGAUUGGUGUUGGGUCUGAACGAGCCAUGGAUUCCUGAGACUGUGGCUGACAGGUGAUGUCUCGCCCCUGAUAAUGGCCCAUCAGGACUUCCUCCUCAGCUGAAAGGAGAGGAAAGGCAGGCACACUGGUCCCUAAUUGUCCCUAAUCACGGAUGUUUAGAGACAACCCAGAGGGACGACCUCCCGCGUUAGGGAUUUUACCAGGAAGCAGUGGAUCAGGUUAUCAGCAGGCAAAGGAUAAAGAGUGUUGACUUAGCUGUAGGGGGGUCGGACCCAGGCUGAUUUGGCAAAACCAAUGACACUGGGUCUCAUCCCUUUUACCGAGGCUCCCGGUCUUGUCUGUUUCAGGGUUUCAGGAAAGAUGGAGAUGAAACAGGGAAAGAUAAGAACGUUUCCCAAACACCUGUUAUUUGCUAGACUAAAUUCUUUACCUACAUUAGCUCACUUACUCCUCACGGAGACCCACGAUCAAAUCAGUGAUAGGCAUCGCUGUUCUUUUUUACUUUGGAGGAAAACCGAGAGACGGGGACUGCAUGCCCUGCCUGGGAUCGCGCUUUGAGAAGGCUGCAGGGCGGAGCUUCAGUCCCAAGUCUGCCCAUCAUAUAAGCUUCCUGCUCUAGCUGUCUCCGUGACCUCAGUCAGGAUCCUCAGGAAACAGACUCUGACAGUGUUAGGUGUGGACGUAGAAGGCUUGUGGGGAAUAAUUCUUACAAGAGUGAGGAAAGCAGAAUUAAGCAAGGAAAGAAGUUAAGCUGUGAUGUGAUUGCCAUGGAAACCCCAGCAGAUCCCAGUAGAACCGGGACCAGGGUGAAGCAAGCCUUGCCUUGGGACGAAAUGUAAGGGGUGCCAGGAAACGCAGUCGUCACGAUACAUGAUAUUUUAAUGCAACGUGAAAAAAAAUUAAGCUAACGGUAAAAAAUCCAU